This 429-nucleotide ribosomal RNA is filed under the name Bacteroidota bacterium. RNAcentral describes it as "Bacteroidetes bacterium partial 16S ribosomal RNA". It matches the Rfam family "Bacterial small subunit ribosomal RNA", at positions 355 to 776 of the family's 1533-position model. The record is from RNAcentral. Lineage: Bacteria; Pseudomonadati; Bacteroidota.
UAGGGAAUCUUCCGCAAUGGACGCAAGUCUGACGGAGCAACGCCGCGUGAGUGAAGAAGGAUUUCGGUUCGUAAAACUCUGUUGUUAGAGAAGAACAGCGCAUAGAGUAACUGUUAUGCGUGUGACGGUAUCUAACCAGAAAGCCACGGCUAACUACGUGCCAGCAGCCGCGGUAAUACGUAGGUGGCAAGCGUUGUCCGGAUUUAUUGGGCGUAAAGCGAGCGCAGGCGGUCAAUUAAGUCUGAUGUGAAAGCCCCCGGCUCAACCGGGGAGGGUCAUUGGAAACUGGUUGACUUGAGUGCAGAAGAGGAGAGUGGAAUUCCAUGUGUAGCGGUGAAAUGCGUAGAUAUAUGGAGGAACACCAGUGGCGAAGGCGACUCUCUGGUCUGUAACUGACGCGGAGGCUCGAAAGCGUGGGGAGCGAACAGG